UGCUGACAAAAGAGUCUCAGGCC
RNAcentral lists this non-coding RNA (23 nucleotides) under Mus musculus (house mouse). Lineage: Eukaryota; Metazoa; Chordata; Mammalia; Rodentia; Muridae. The record is from RNAcentral.